Long non-coding RNA from Rana temporaria (common frog), 823 nucleotides. RefSeq lists it as uncharacterized. The transcript is spliced from 3 exons. NCBI's taxonomy places the organism in Eukaryota, Metazoa, Chordata, Amphibia, Anura, Ranidae. The record is from RefSeq and is a predicted model, not a curated record.
AAAUAGGGGCAAAACGCAAAUGUGUUGUGUUUAUAAAUUUGCACAGUGUAGUAUGAGGGUAAGACAGCAGGCAGAACAUAGGAAAGAUGAUUGUACAGUGUACAGCAACAUGUUCUAUGUGCAGUAAAAGAGUUCAGAGUGUAUUAAAGGGGAAUUAUGUGCAAAGGACAACCUCAGGAUAUUACAGGGGAUGGGUGCAUGACGGAGUGUAGAAGGCAUGACAAUGGACAGUAUGUGCAGCCAAUUAAUUAUUCAAUCAAUGAAUCCUUAUAAUCUCCUGAGUGCAGUGUGGUCUGUUAGAUGACCCCUGACAUCUCAGUGUGCGCUGACUCUUUUCCCUUGGUAAGCAUACCACCACAUUAGACCACCAUAUCAAACUGUAAUAUCUUUGUUUUGGACAAAUUUUACAGACCCUCUCCACCUUUUGUAGAUUGUGGAUAAGACAUUCCUGAACCCAGUGUUUCACUUUGUGAAACCUGGUCUUUAUUAACCUGAUAAAAAAAUUCAAUGGAUAUGUCACUGCCUUUGGUUUGAAAAGGUGCCCGGCCCUCUCCCUGGUCUACUACCAUCAGUGGUGUUACCCCUAUUCAGUGAUUCCCUCUACAACAUAACCUCUGAAGAAGACCCGAUUAAGGGUUGAAACGCGUUAGAAACUGCCAUAUGCUUGUACCCACCCACGCCAAGCUGUAUGACAUUUUGUUGUUUUCUUUUUGCUAUCUCUAUGUAUGGAAUUUUAAUUAUUUUUGUAUUACCGCAACUCAUAUCUUAACUACUACUUUAUCCUUUUUGUACGUGUUAUUACACAAUAAAACCCUCUUUUUUA